This 443-nucleotide ribosomal RNA is filed under the name uncultured bacterium. RNAcentral's name for it is "bacterial SSU rRNA". It matches the Rfam family "Bacterial small subunit ribosomal RNA", at positions 28 to 507 of the family's 1533-position model. The record is from RNAcentral.
GACGAACGCUGGCGGUGUGCUUCACACAUGCAAGUCGAACGAGGUAGCAAUACCUAGUGGCGGACGGGUGAGUAACGCGUGGGAAUCUGCCUUAAGAUGGGGGAUAACGAGCCGAAAGGCUCGCUAAUACCGCAUAUGCCGAAAGGUGAAAGGAGUAAUCCGUCUUAAGAUGAGCCCGCGUCCGGAUUAGCUAGUUGGUAGGGUAAAGGCCUACCAAGGCGACGAUCCGGUAGCUGGUCUGAGAGGAUGAUCAAGACCACAAUGGGACUGAGACACGGCCCAUACUCCUACGGGAGGCAGCAGUGGGGAAUUUUACGCAAUGGGGGAAACCCUGACGUAGCGACACCGCGUGAGCGAAGGAAGCCCCUUGGGGUGUAAAGCUCUGUCAGCUGGAACGAAAAAAAUAGACGGUACCAGCAGAGGAAGCAUCGGCUAACUACGUG